RNAcentral lists this ribosomal RNA (305 nucleotides) under uncultured bacterium. RNAcentral describes it as "bacterial SSU rRNA". It matches the Rfam family "Bacterial small subunit ribosomal RNA", at positions 333 to 655 of the family's 1533-position model. The record is from RNAcentral.
UUUUUCCUACGGGAGGCAGCAGUGGGGAAUAUUGCACAAUGGGGGGAACCCUGAUGCAGCGACGCCGCGUGAAGGAAGAAGUAUUUCGGUAUGUAAACUUCUAUCCGCAGGGAAGAAAAUGACGGUACCUGACUAAGAAGCCCCGGCUAACUACGUGCCAGCAGCCGCGGUAAUACGUAGGGGGCAAGCGUUAUCCGGAUUUACUGGGUGUAAAGGGAGCGUAGGCGGUGCAGCAAGUCAGAAGUGAAAGCCCGGGGCUCAACUCCGGGACUGCUUUUGAAACUGUUGAACUAGAUUGCAGGAGG